This is a long non-coding RNA of Felis catus (domestic cat), 3017 nucleotides long. RefSeq lists it as uncharacterized. The record is from RefSeq and is a predicted model, not a curated record. NCBI's taxonomy places the organism in Eukaryota, Metazoa, Chordata, Mammalia, Carnivora, Felidae. The transcript is spliced from 8 exons.
CAGGGGACAGCCCCCUCCAGUGCUGGAGCCACACCCUUGAUGGAGGGCCCCGGUGGGUGAGGUCUGUAGCUCCUGGAAACAGACCCCAGAGCGGCGGCAAGAAAGGAGUUGGUCUCCACAAUCCGCCCAAAGCCAAGAAGACUUUGGAUAAGUCAUUAUGGAGAAAGCUAAGGAUCCCUGCGUUGUCUUGAAAGCACACCAGCCGGGAAAUCAGAAGGCCUGGGUUUGAAUUCCAGUUACUCACAAAUGUAAGUGAAAGUGGGCAGGCCAGUGACUCCAGCUCAACCACACCAUGGAGGAUGUCUCUGUGGUCUCAUGUCCACCUUCAUUUGCAAGAUGUCUGCCACAGUUCCAGAUAAUCCAUGGGAUCCCCGGGGAAAGAAGACAACUCCUCCUGUAUUGUGACAACUAGCAGGCACACAAAAGUGAACAUCACGUGGGCCUUGACCUGGAGAGCUAGCAAGCAAACCGGCAUCCCAUGUCAUUUCAAAAUUGUAUAGUAAGCAAGGAGAGGCAUGCAGUGUUCUGGAAGCACAGAGAAGGAUCCCUCAGCUCUACUGAGGGACGAUUCCUGGGGAGAGACCAAGUGGACUGGCUAUAGAUGCUGAGAAUGAGUUUGACUAUAAAGACAAUGCUGUAAGGCCUUGAACUUCAUCUGUGGACUCUAAAAAAUGCAAAAGAGCUGGAGAGAAAUGGCUACCUGCUGUGGAAGACCAGGCCCACCCUGUAUCCUCAGCCCUCUGCUCUCUCGACUUUGGGCCUAAAACUAUGUGUGAACAAGAAGAGCAGCUGUCACUAUAUGUAUGAAGGCACCCAGCUGGGGGUGGACAACAUCGAGACCUGCAUCCAGAAGACAUUUUGUGGCUCCAAGGAAGGACAAGGUCCUAGGCAUGAGGUUGCAGGGGAAUAAAUUCCCUCCAGCUGCAUCCAAAUGGGAUGCUUGACCAGACUGUCAGCUUGCUCCCUGGUAUUACCACCCCAUACUGAAAAGCAAUCCACAUAAGGAGCUCCAGCACCAGCGAAAGUCUAAAGCUUAGAUUUCUUAAAGAGGAAGAAGAGUCACAGAGAAUCCUAUAGAGGAUCCCCUCCCCCCAGCCCCAGCCUGUGCUUAAUUGAGUGGCUUAAGGGACUUGCCUCCUCUUCAAGAUUAAGAGGUGGGUGUGAAUAUUUUCCUCUGGCCCCCUUAUAUGUUCUUGAUUACAGUAAUAAAAAUGCUAAGCUCUAUUGCCUCUCACUGGAGUAAAGGCAGCUGAAAACUCCUCAUUCCCUGAAGAACCUAAUUGUUGAUUCUAGUGCAUCUAAACAGGUGUUCUUUAGAUUGCUUUUUCUAAUGCCUUUUCACUGGAAAGAUCAAUUUAAAUGUUGCUUUGAGCUAAUCAGUGAUUGCUUCUGUAUUCAUCCAAAUUUAUAUCUUUGCUUCUGCGUGCUAGAUGAGACAUUACUUUCAAAGUCUAUAAACUUAAAUAAGGGAGGUGAUUUCUAAUUUAGCUCUUUGUCCUCUUCUGUCUUCCAUAUUUUAUGCAAAAUAUGCAUGUAUUUCUUUUUGUUAUUUAAAAUCCUAGUUGAAACCUGUGUUUGAACGUCCUGAGUCAUCUUUGGAUGCCCUAUAACGCCACGUGUGAAUUUCCCCAGUCCCGUCUCUCCAGAAAGCUCACGUUCACGCAAGGUUCUCAUCAAAUGCCAGCUGCUCCAUGAAACCAGGCUGCAGUCUCCAACCAGCUCUCCUGGAGUCAGUAUCCGAACAAGGGAUCUGGAGAGGGUUGCAUCUGAUUUUCCAAACCCCACGGUACUCUGCACCUUUCUGAUUUAUCUCAUCUGUGGGUAUUUGCUCCUGGCCUUUUUUCACCCAUGGUGAGCACGUGAAACUUCUUCAGGCGACACAGAGGGUGUACUCUGCUGAACCACAGGAAUAGACUAAAAAAUAGUUGUUGCUUAAUGAAUUGUAGGUGUAUAGUUUUGAAGAAUGACAUUUUAUUUCUUUUUUUUUUUUUUUUUAAGUUUUAUUUAUUUUUGAGAGAGAGGGAGGGGGAGGAUUAGAGAGACAGGAAGACACAGAAUCUGAAGCAGGCUCCAGGCUCUGAGCUGUCAGCAAAUAGUCUGACACGGGGCUUGAACCCAUGAAACAUGAGAUCAUGGCCUGAGCCGAAGGCCGAUGCUUAACCGACUGAGCCACACAGGCGCCCCAAGAAUGAUGUUUUAAAGUAAAGUGUACCCGGAUGGAGAAAUGAUGGAUGUGGCUCUUCAAUCAAGUCCUCAGAACAUAAUCCUUUAGAACUUGCAGGCCAUCUAUCAGCACUCUCUCUUUCACACGCAAAGAACCCCUGGUUCCGAGAGUCCUGGGUCUUCCUUAAGGUCACCUGGUGGGGAAAGACCAGAAUUCAGCCAGCAGAUCUUCUGAAGUGCUCUUCCAGACAUACCUUCAGGCAUAAUUUAACAUGUAUCAGUUUAUCCUUGAGUGUAAAGUACACUUCAUGAUUGGUGACCGGCUAACUAUUCAUAGUUCCUCACUCCCUCCCUUUUAGUGCCUGUUUCUAAGCAGCAAAGUUGUGGUUCAGUGACUUCUGUCUGGAUAAUAUGAAAACAGGGCACCCGGCCAAUUUUGAUGAGCUAACUAUUUCCCUAAAUUAUCAUGCCUAAGCAAAAGGCCCCAAACCUGCUGUUCAACACUUAUCAUUGGAUCUGGGGGAUGGGCUCUACACAGGCAUAUCAUCAAAUAACUGGAAUUUUGCAUUUGCGAUUGUCAAGCAGUGAAAAUUGUCAUCCUUAGAAAUGACUGACAGUUCCCCUGCCUCAUUUCUGCUACACUGAGUUAGGUAAAGAAAAAAAAAAUCACCUUCACUCUUUUUACAGAUUUCUUGCUGAAGACCCAUGUGACAGGAGUAUAAAUUUUCACCAGAAAUUGAUGGGAGAACGGACACUUCAAAGUGCCUGAAAGACUUUGCAAAAGGUCCCAAUUAGCAGAAUGCAGCUAACAUCUUAAAAAAAGAAAAUAGAAUAAAUGUUGCAGUGGGAAUGAA